RNAcentral lists this ribosomal RNA (93 nucleotides) under Thiothrix subterranea. Lineage: Bacteria; Pseudomonadati; Pseudomonadota; Gammaproteobacteria; Thiotrichales; Thiotrichaceae. The record is from RNAcentral.
ACCACCUGAUCCCAUCCCGAACUCAGAAGUGAAACGCAGCAUCGCCGAUGGUAGUGUGGGGUCUCCCCAUGUGAGAGUAGGUCAACGCCAAGC